UAGGAUAUUCUGGGAGCUGUCUGAGCCUU
RNAcentral lists this non-coding RNA (29 nucleotides) under Homo sapiens (human). Lineage: Eukaryota; Metazoa; Chordata; Mammalia; Primates; Hominidae. The record is from RNAcentral.